CCUACGGGAGGCUGCAGUGAGGAAUAUUGGUCAAUGGACGCGAGUCUGAACCAGCCAAGUAGCGUGAAGGAUGACUGCCCUAUGGGUUGUAAACUUCUUUUAUAUGGGGAUAAAACGUUCCACGUGUGGUGUUUUGUAGGUACCGUAUGAAUAAGGAUCGGCUAACUCCGUGCCAGCAGCCGCGGUAAUACGGAGGAUCCGAGCGUUAUCCGGAUUUAUUGGGUUUAAAGGGAGCGCAGGUGGAUUGUUAAGUAUGCUGGGAAAGUUUGCGGCUUAACCGGAAAAUUGCAGUUGAAACUGGCAGUGUUGAGUACAGUAGAGGUGGGCGGAAGUAGUGGUGUAGCGGUGAAAUGCUUAGAGAUCACGAAGAACUACGAGUGCGAAGGCAGUUCACUGGACUGCAACUGACACUGAGGUUCGAAAGUGUGGGUAGCAAACAGGAUUAGAUACCCCAGUAGUC
This 460-nucleotide ribosomal RNA is filed under the name uncultured bacterium. Its description in RNAcentral is "partial 16S ribosomal RNA". It matches the Rfam family "Bacterial small subunit ribosomal RNA", at positions 338 to 795 of the family's 1533-position model. The record is from RNAcentral.